Molecule: non-coding RNA, 160 nt
Organism: Solanum tuberosum (potato)
Lineage: Eukaryota; Viridiplantae; Streptophyta; Magnoliopsida; Solanales; Solanaceae
Source: Rfam
AGAGCAUUGAGAAAACAUUUCCCUAGUCCGAGAGGACCAGGAAGGACGCACCUUUGGUGUACCAGUUAUCAUGCCCACGAUAAACGUUGGGUAACCAAGUGCGGAGCGGAUAACUGCUGAAAGCAUCUAAGUAGUAAGCUCACCCUAAGAUGAGUGCCCU